GUAGUCCACGCCGUAAACGAUGGGCACUAGGUGCUUGGGGGAGCGACCCCUUGAGUGCCGUCGCUAACGCAUUAAGUGCCCCGCCUGGGGAGUACGGCCGCAAGGCUGAAACUCAAAGGAAUUGACGGGGGCCCGCACAAGCGGUGGAGCAUGUGGUUUAAUUCGACGCAACGCGAAGAACCUUACCUAGGCUUGACAUGGCCGAGCAACCUCUUGGAAACAGGAGGCCUCCUUCGGGACUCGGUCACAGGUGCUGCAUGGCUGUCGUCAGCUCGUGUCGUGAGAUGUUGGGUUAAGUCCGCAACGAGCGCAACCCCUGUCUCCAGUUGCCAGCGCGUCAUGGCGGGGAC
RNAcentral lists this ribosomal RNA (350 nucleotides) under uncultured Gemmatimonadaceae bacterium. RNAcentral's name for it is "bacterial SSU rRNA". It matches the Rfam family "Bacterial small subunit ribosomal RNA", at positions 790 to 1138 of the family's 1533-position model. Lineage: Bacteria; Pseudomonadati; Gemmatimonadota; Gemmatimonadia; Gemmatimonadales; Gemmatimonadaceae. The record is from RNAcentral.